Molecule: ribosomal RNA, 572 nt
Filed under: uncultured bacterium
Lineage: Bacteria
Description: partial 16S ribosomal RNA
Rfam family: Bacterial small subunit ribosomal RNA
Source: RNAcentral
UGGGGAAUUUUGGACAAUGGGCGAAAGCCUGAUCCAGCAAUGCCGCGUGUGUGAAGAAGGCCUUCGGGUUGUAAAGCACUUUUGUCCGGAAAGAAAUCCUUGGCUCUAAUACAGUCGGGGGAUGACGGUACCGGAAGAAUAAGCACCGGCUAACUACGUGCCAGCAGCCGCGGUAAUACGUAGGGUGCAAGCGUUAAUCGGAAUUACUGGGCGUAAAGCGUGCGCAGGCGGUUUGCUAAGACCGAUGUGAAAUCCCCGGGCUCAACCUGGGAACUGCAUUGGUGACUGGCAGGCUAGAGUAUGGCAGAGGGGGGUAGAACUCCACGUGUAGCAGUGAAAUGCGUAGAGAUGUGGAGGAAUACCGAUGGCGAAGGCAGCCCCCUGGGCCAAUACUGACGCUCAUGCACGAAAGCGUGGGGAGCAAAACAGGAUUAGAUACCCUGGUAGUCCACGCCCUAAACGAUGUCAACUAGUUGUUGGGGAUUCAUUUCCUUAGUAACUAGCUAACGCGUGAAGUUGACCGCCUGGGGAGUACGGUCGCAAGAUUAAAACUUAAAUGAAUUGACGGGGUC